UAAAUGGAUAUACGGUUGAGCAAUCUGUGU
Molecule: non-coding RNA, 30 nt
Filed under: Rattus norvegicus (Norway rat)
Lineage: Eukaryota; Metazoa; Chordata; Mammalia; Rodentia; Muridae
Source: RNAcentral